UGGGGAAUAUUGGGCAAUGGGCGCAAGCCUGACCCAGCAACGCCGCGUGAAGGAAGAAGGCUUUCGGGUUGUAAACUUCUUUUCUGAGGGACGAACAAAUGACGGUACCUCAGGAAUAAGCCACGGCUAACUACGUGCCAGCAGCCGCGGUAAUACGUAGGUGGCAAGCGUUAUCCGGAUUUAUUGGGUGUAAAGGGCGUGUAGGCGGGAGUGCAAGUCAGAUGUGAAAACUCAGGGCUCAACCCUGAGCCUGCAUUUGAAACUGUACUUCUUGAGUGCUGGAGAGGCAAUCGGAAUUCCGUGUGUAGCGGUGAAAUGCGUAGAUAUACGGAGGAACACCAGUGGCGAAGGCGGAUUGCUGGACAGUAACUGACGCUGAGGCGCGAAAGCGUGGGGAGCAAACAGG
RNAcentral lists this ribosomal RNA (406 nucleotides) under uncultured bacterium. RNAcentral's name for it is "bacterial SSU rRNA". It matches the Rfam family "Bacterial small subunit ribosomal RNA", at positions 355 to 776 of the family's 1533-position model. The record is from RNAcentral.